AAAUUGAAAGAGAAGAGAGAGAUGAAGAAAUUAUAAUCUCGACAUCCGAAUCUGAAACAAUUCUUGAGAAUCCAACAAUUGAAGAGCAUCAUGGUUUUGAAAAUUCUUUGGAAUGCGAUCUUGAAAAGCGUCCUCCGAUUUGGCAAUAUCCACCAAAUCAAGUGGAUGCAAUACGAAGAGCUUAUCUAAAAUGGGGUCCAUAUCAAAUUCAU
RNAcentral lists this long non-coding RNA (212 nucleotides) under Lathyrus oleraceus (garden pea). Its description in RNAcentral is "Pisum sativum (pea) long non-coding RNA (PSAT_LNC023890)". Lineage: Eukaryota; Viridiplantae; Streptophyta; Magnoliopsida; Fabales; Fabaceae. The record is from RNAcentral.